RNAcentral lists this ribosomal RNA (244 nucleotides) under uncultured Staphylococcus sp. RNAcentral describes it as "partial 16S ribosomal RNA". It matches the Rfam family "Bacterial small subunit ribosomal RNA", at positions 96 to 334 of the family's 1533-position model. Lineage: Bacteria; Bacillati; Bacillota; Bacilli; Caryophanales; Staphylococcaceae. The record is from RNAcentral.
CGGCGGACGGGUGAGUAACACGUGGAUAACCUACCUAUAAGACUGGGAUAACUUCGGGAAACCGGAGCUAAUACCGGAUAAUAUAUUGAACCGCAUGGUUCAAUAGUGAAAGACGGUUUUGCUGUCACUUAUAGAUGGAUCCGCGCCGCAUUAGCUAGUUGGUAAGGUAACGGCUUACCAAGGCAACGAUGCGUAGCCGACCUGGGAGGGUGAUCGGCCACACUGGAACUGAGACACGGUCCAG